CACAAAGCUGCUCACCAGUGCUCCAUCUGUGUCCCCUGUGGAGGGGGGAUGGUGCCAGGACAUGCUUUAAGCAAACAAAGGCACAGGGAGACAUAGCAAAGGGAGGGAUGGCUCAGCAGGGUUGUGCUGGCAGUCAGGUACAGGCAUAGGUUCCCAGGGAAUACAGGACACUGUCACUCAGGCAGUGAGUCAGAUGUCCCAAAAUGCCAUAGGAUGCCUGCAGAGCUGAUGUUGAGGUGGAGGAGCUAGCCUGGACAGGGAUGUGCCGCAGGAGAGCCAGCAGCCAGGAAGCCACAGAGGGCAGCCAGAACCAGGAUGAACCCCACCACCACCGGGACUCCGAAGGUCUUCCCUGCCCUCAUCCCAGCUUGUCCGCCUCCUCCUGGGCCAAGAAGAUAUGUUUGAAUUUACAUGAUAAUGCUUACUCAAGGAGAAAACCAGUGCUGACCAUCCCAGCAGCACUCACACACGUGUCUGCUCAUGAGCACAGCCCAGGUUCUGGGCAUCAGCUGUCCUGUUUUUCAUCUCCCCCAUCUUUGCCUCCCCUUCCCUUCAUAACUGUGAUCCUUUCUGGAAUAGCAAAAGUUAAAGCUUGAGAAAUGAAAACCCCAGGAGCCUGGGUCUCCGGCUAAGUCCUUUUAUUAAACAAAUAAACCAGAAAAGGUAUCAAAUGAGCGAUUUAAGAA
This is a non-coding RNA of Cyanistes caeruleus (blue tit), 686 nucleotides long. Lineage: Eukaryota; Metazoa; Chordata; Aves; Passeriformes; Paridae. The record is from RefSeq and is a predicted model, not a curated record.